GACGAACGCUAGGCGGCGUGCUUAACACAUGCAAGUCGAGCGGUAAGGCCCUUUCGGGGGUACGACGAGCGGCGAACGGGUGAGUAACACGUGGGUGACCUGCCCUCAGCUCUGGGAUAAGCCUGGGAAACCGGGUCUAAUACCGGAUAUGACUCCAUGACGCAUGUUGUGGGGUGGAAAGCCUUGUGCGGCUGAGGAUGGGCCCGCGGCCUAUCAGCUUGUUGGUGGGGUGACGGCCUACCAAGGCGACGACGGGUAGCCGGCCUGAGAGGGCGACCGGCCACACUGGGA
RNAcentral lists this ribosomal RNA (291 nucleotides) under uncultured bacterium. RNAcentral's name for it is "partial 16S ribosomal RNA". It matches the Rfam family "Bacterial small subunit ribosomal RNA", at positions 28 to 318 of the family's 1533-position model. The record is from RNAcentral.